GGAAAUUGACUUAUAAUCCAUUACCGGACGAGACAAAUCAUAAAACAAUUAAAGAGCAGUCUUUUUGUUCUGAUACUAUCACAGAUAACAAAUUAGAGAAACAAGUUACAAAUGAUGCUAGAACUCAAUGUCGUAAGGAAGUUGAUACCCUUAAAUCAAGUAUAAACAGUGUUUAGAGCAUAACAAUAAUUCUGGAAAUGAUAAAAAAUAUUGUGCUUUUUAUGAUGUCUUGCAUAGUCUUUUUUCUAAGAAACCGUGGGCACAAAUAAAGGAGAAAACUAUUGGAUUUAACAUCCCCAUGAAGGAUUUGAACGAUUUACCAUCAACCAUUCGUUCUGUUAAUAAUAAUAUCAAACAAGAAAGGAGAAAGAAAAUCGAAUGUAGAUUUUAACGAAGAAAGAUAAAAUUACAUGAAGAAAAAGUUAAAGCAAGGGGAUAAGAAGUUAAAAUUGGUGGAGGAUUAUCAAAA
Phymastichus coffea is the source of this 469-nucleotide long non-coding RNA. RefSeq lists it as uncharacterized. The record is from RefSeq and is a predicted model, not a curated record. NCBI's taxonomy places the organism in Eukaryota, Metazoa, Arthropoda, Insecta, Hymenoptera, Eulophidae. The transcript is spliced from 4 exons.